CUUGUUGAGUACCGUCAUUAUCUUCCUCAACAACAGGAGUUUACAAUCCGAAGACCUUCUUCCUCCACGCGGCGUCGCUGCAUCAGGGUUUCCCCCAUUGUGCAAUAUUCC
This 111-nucleotide ribosomal RNA is filed under the name uncultured bacterium. RNAcentral describes it as "16S ribosomal RNA". The record is from RNAcentral.